UGGGGAAUCUUGCGCAAUGGGCGAAAGCCUGACGCAGCGAUGCCGCGUGAGCGAUGAAGGCCUUCGGGUUGUAAAGCUCUGUGGAUGGAGACGAAUAAGUCGUAGUUAAUACCUGCGAUGAUGACGGUAUCCAUUUAGCAAGCACCGGCUAACUCUGUG
RNAcentral lists this ribosomal RNA (159 nucleotides) under uncultured bacterium. RNAcentral's name for it is "partial 16S rRNA". It matches the Rfam family "Bacterial small subunit ribosomal RNA", at positions 355 to 507 of the family's 1533-position model. The record is from RNAcentral.